This 1315-nucleotide long non-coding RNA is filed under the name Homo sapiens (human). RNAcentral's name for it is "HSALNT0007469". The record is from RNAcentral. Lineage: Eukaryota; Metazoa; Chordata; Mammalia; Primates; Hominidae.
CUUACUUUCUUGUCUCAGACUGUGUUGAUUGUGCAACCCAAACUCCGUCUCAACAUCAACUUAUAGAAAAAUCCAACUUUCUAGAACUAGGACUAGGAUGAGGCAAGAUAAGCACCAAGGGCACAAAAUUUAAGGAGGCAUUCACUCUCUAUUGCUAACUCUAUACUUGCACAAAACUGAGAUCAAGUACCUCCUUAAAUUUUGUGUCCUAGGCCCCUCACUUGCCUCACCCUAGUCCUGACCCUGCAACUUGUGACAGUUGGUAUGAAGAGUGGUCCAAGAAAGGAGGAGACAAGUUGGGUUUUUGAAGCCAGAUCACUCACUGUCUAGCGGGCAACGAGAACCCCAUCACUAGUGGUAGGUACAAGAAACAGGCCCUGGCAAAAACUACCAGUGACUGCUGCCAACCAAUGUUCAACCUUCCAGUGACAGAGAUCAACACUGAGCUCCCAAUACAGUACUAUUCCUUAAGAAGACCAACCAGCCACUUGGUGGAUGGCAAGUUGACUAGCUGGGCACCUUCCAUCCUGAAAGAGCCAGGGUUUCAUUCUCACAGUGACCGAUAUCUCAUUCUGAGUAUGGUUUUGCCUUUCCCUCUUGCAAGCUCUCAGCCAGCUCAACUACGGGAUGGCUGAGUGUUUGAUCCACCAGCAUGGGAUCCCAUCCAUCAUCAUGCCAGGUCACAGGACCCAUUUUAGAAUAAAGCAGAUGCAGGACAGGGCCAGUGACUAAGGGAUCCACUAGUUAUAUCACAUACGAGAAUCUUCUGAUUUUAUGGUGCAUUGGAAUGGCCUACUAACAACACAGCUAAAACACCAGCUCAGAGGCAAUGCUCUGUGCAUAUGUAUGCAUCCUCAAGAACAUACUAUAGGCAUCAAAGACUUUGAUAUGGCUCUGUGUCUCCUAAAGGAAGAAUACAUGGUCCCAGGAACCCAAGAGUGAAAUAGGAGUGGAUGUAUUUCCCAUUCCUCCCAGUACCUCAUUGAAGGACUUGUGAUUCCUAUUUCCUCAGCUCUAGGCUUUGAGAGCUGGAGCUCCCGAUUCUCCAAGGAGCAACUUUUUUGCCAGGAGAUGCAGCAAAAAUACAAAAGUAUAAACAGUCACUGUUUCUUGGGUCCUUUGCACUUCUUGUGUCCAGGGACCAGCAGGCAAGACGUGGAGUCACUGUAUUAGUAAGGGUAAUUCACUUGAAAAAGGCAGCACUGCACAUUUAUAGUUGCAUCAAGGUUAUAUUAACCCUUCUGGGGAACCAAAACUAAGAUAAUACCAUUGUUUUAAUAGUACACAUUAAUUGGUCAUAAGACACAGAUUUUCA